This 489-nucleotide ribosomal RNA is filed under the name Triticum aestivum (bread wheat). RNAcentral describes it as "partial small subunit ribosomal RNA". Lineage: Eukaryota; Viridiplantae; Streptophyta; Magnoliopsida; Poales; Poaceae. The record is from RNAcentral.
GAUGAAUUCGAAGACUCAAGUCACAAUAACUAUGUCGACCAUGAUCCAUUGGACUAUGUCUACUCAAACCUCCUAGACCACACACACAUCCUGAAGCAUGCUGCAAAUUGCGAUCACUUCAAGGCCAAGAAGUUUGUGUUCGGGGUCCCGGGAUUCUGCUAUUGCGGUGGGAAAAUCUAGCUGAAGCAACCAGAGCCCAUCCUGGAGCUAAUGAGGCUUUGGUCUGGCAUGGAUGCGAACUCAAGGCAUUUUCGGGAGAACAUACAGUUCUUCAACGGCCACUUCUCCUUCACAACCCUUGGUGCCAACCUUGAUGAAAGCUACACAAACAUGAAGUCUGGGGCGUACACGUUCCGGGUGCACGGCACCAUCUACCACAACGUUCAUUCCUUCAGGCCAACAUCACGUCUAGAUCAUCUACAGUUGUACUUCUAUGACGAUGACCCAGGCCUAACCCAUCGCAAGGCUACCACCGAGCAAUUAGACUAG